GCUCUCUUUGGGAGAACAUAUACCAAAAAUGGAACAAUACAGAGAUUAGCAUGGCCCCUGCUCAAGGAUGACAUGCAAGUUUGUGAAGCAUUCCAUAUAAAA
Small nuclear RNA from Zalophus californianus (California sea lion), 102 nucleotides. Lineage: Eukaryota; Metazoa; Chordata; Mammalia; Carnivora; Otariidae. The record is from Ensembl.